GGAUUCGGAGCGAGUGGCGAACUGGUGAGUAACACGUGGGUAACCUGCCCCGAAGCGGGGGAUAACAUUUGGAAACAAGUGCUAAUACCGCAUAAUUAGUUGGAACCGCAUGGUUCCAACUUGAAAGAUGGCUCUGCUAUCACUUUGGGAUGGACCCGCGCCGUAUUAGUUAGUUGGUGAGAUAAAAGCCCACCAAGACGAUGAUACGUAGCCGACCUGAGAGGGUAAUCGGCCACAUUGGGACUGAGACACGGCCCAGACUCCUACGGGAGGCAGCAGUAGGGAAUCUUCCACAAUGGACGAAAGUCUGAUGGAGCAACGCCGCGUGAGUGAUGAAGGUUUUCGGAUCGUAAAACUCUGUUGUUAAAGAAGAACAAGUGUUAGAGUAACUGUUAACACUUUGACGGUAUUUAACCAGAAAGCCACGGCUAACUACGUGCCAGCAGCCGCGGUAAUACGUAGGUGGCAAGCGUUGUCCGGAUUUAUUGGGCGUAAAGCGAGCGCAGGCGGUUUUGUAAGUCUGCUGUGAAAGCCCUCAGCUCAACUGAGGAAGUGCAGUGGAAACUACAAAACUUGAGUACAGAAGAGGAAAGUGGAACUCCAUGUGUAGCGGUGAAAUGCGUAGAUAUAUGGAAGAACACCAGUGGCGAAGGCGGCUUUCUGGUCUGUUACUGACGCUGAGGCUCGAAAGCAUGGGUAGCGAACAGGAUUAGAUACCCUGGUAGUCCAUGCCGUAAACGAUGAAUACUAGGUGUUGGAGGGUUUCCGCCCUUCAGUGCCGCAGCUAACGCAUUAAGUAUUCCGCCUGGGGAGUACGACCGCAAGGUUGAAACUCAAAGGAAUUGACGGGGGCCCGCACAAGUGGUGGAGCAUGUGGUUUAAUUCGAUGCUACGCGAAGAACCUUACCAGCUCUUGACAUCUUCUGCCAACCCAAGAGAUUGGGCGUUCCCUUCGGGGACAGAAUGACAGGUGGUGCAUGGUUGUCGUCAGCUCGUGUCGUGAGAUGUUGGGUUAAGUCCCGCAACGAGCGCAACCCUUAUUAUUAGUUGCCAGCAUUUAGUUGGGCACUCUAGUGAGACUGCCGGUGAUAAACCGGAGGAAGGUGGGGACGACGUCAAAUCAUCAUGCCCCUUAUGAGCUGGGCUACACACGUGCUACAAUGGAUGGUACAACGAGUCGCGAAACCGCGAGGUCAAGCUAAUCUCUUAAAGCCAUUCUCAGUUCGGAUUGCAGGCUGCAACUCGCCUGCAUGAAGUUGGAAUCACUAGUAAUCGUGGAUCA
This 1282-nucleotide ribosomal RNA is filed under the name Apilactobacillus kunkeei. Its description in RNAcentral is "bacterial SSU rRNA". It matches the Rfam family "Bacterial small subunit ribosomal RNA", at positions 82 to 1351 of the family's 1533-position model. The record is from RNAcentral. Lineage: Bacteria; Bacillati; Bacillota; Bacilli; Lactobacillales; Lactobacillaceae.